Molecule: ribosomal RNA, 253 nt
Filed under: uncultured bacterium
Lineage: Bacteria
Description: partial 16S ribosomal RNA
Rfam family: Bacterial small subunit ribosomal RNA
Source: RNAcentral
UACGAAGGGGGCUAGCGUUGCUCGGAUUGACUGGGCGUAAAGGGCGCGUAGGCGGUUCGUACAGUCAGACGUGAAAUUCCUGGGCUCAACCUGGGGGCUGCGUUUGAUACGUGCGGACUUGAGUGCGGAAGAGGGUCGUGGAAUUCCCAGUGUAGAGGUGAAAUUCGUAGAUAUUGGGAAGAACACCGGUGGCGAAGGCGGCUAUCUGGACCGACAUUGACGCUGAGGCGCGAAAGCGUGGGGAGCAAACAGG